This 448-nucleotide ribosomal RNA is filed under the name uncultured bacterium. RNAcentral's name for it is "bacterial SSU rRNA". It matches the Rfam family "Bacterial small subunit ribosomal RNA", at positions 328 to 793 of the family's 1533-position model. The record is from RNAcentral.
ACCCCAGACUCCUACGGGAGGCAGCAGUGGGGAAUAUUGCACAAUGGGGGGAACCCUGAUGCAGCGACGCCGCGUGGGUGAAGGAGUAUUUCGGUAUGUAAAGCCCUAUCAGCAGGGAAGAACAAUGACGGUACCUGACUAAGAAGCACCGGCUAAAUACGUGCCAGCAGCCGCGGUAAUACGGAGGAUGCGAGCGUUAUCCGGAUUUAUUGGGUUUAAAGGGUGCGCAGGCGGCACGGCAAGCCGGCGGUCAAAUCGCGGGGCUCAACCCCGCCCAGCCGUCGGAACUGCCGGGCUAGAGUGGGCGAGAAGUGCGCGGAAUGCGUGGUGUAGCGGUGAAAUGCAUAGAUAUCACGCAGAACUCCGAUUGCGAAGGUAGCGCACCGGCGCCCUACUGACGCUCAGGCACGAAAGCGUGGGUAUCGAACAGGAUUAGAUACCCUGGUAU